CCUACGGGUGGCAGCAGUGAGGAAUAUUGGUCAAUGGGCGCGAGCCUGAACCAGCCAAGUAGCGUGAAGGAUGACUGCCCUACGGGUUGUAGACUUCUUUUAUAAGGGGAUAAAGUGAGGCACGCGUGCCUUUUUGUAUGUACUUUAUGAAUAAGGAUCGGCUAACUCCGUGCCAGCAGCCGCGGUAAUACGGAGGAUCCGAGCGUUAUCCGGGUUUAUUGGGUUUAAAGGGAGCGUAGAUGGGUUGUUAAGUCAGUUGUGAAAGUUUGCGGCUCAACCGUAAAAUUGCAGUGGAUACUGGCAGUCUUGAGUACAGUUGAGGUAGGCGGAAUUCGCGGUGUAGCGGUGAAAUGCUUAGAUAUCGCGAAGAACUCCGAUUGCGAAGGCAGCUUACUGUACUGCCACUGACAUUGAGGCUCGAAAGUGCGGGUAUCAAACAGGAUUAGAUACCCUUGUAGUC
Molecule: ribosomal RNA, 460 nt
Filed under: uncultured bacterium
Lineage: Bacteria
Description: partial 16S ribosomal RNA
Rfam family: Bacterial small subunit ribosomal RNA
Source: RNAcentral